Molecule: ribosomal RNA, 441 nt
Filed under: uncultured bacterium
Lineage: Bacteria
Description: partial 16S ribosomal RNA
Rfam family: Bacterial small subunit ribosomal RNA
Source: RNAcentral
CCUAGGGGUGGCAGCAGUGGGGAAUAUUGGGCAAUGGGCGCAAGCCUGACCCAGCAACGCCGCGUGAAGGAUGAAGGUUUUCGGAUUGUAAACUUCUGUCGCGAGGGACGAAGAAUGACGGUACCUGACUAAGAAGCCCCGGCUAACUACGUGCCAGCAGCCGCGGUAAUACGUAGGGGGCAAGCGUUAUCCGGAUUUACUGGGUGUAAAGGGAGCGUAGACGGCGCUGCAAGUCCGGAGUGAAAGCCCAUGGCUUAACCAUGGUACUGCUCUGGAAACUGUAGAGCUUGAGUGCGGGAGGGGCAGGCGGAAUUCCUAGUGUAGCGGUGAAAUGCGUAGAUAUUAGGAGGAACACCGGCGGCGAAGGCGGCCUGCUGGACCGUAACUGACGUUGAGGCUCGAAAGCGUGGGGAGCAAACAGGAUUAGAUACCCGGGUAGUC